CCUACGGGAGGCAGCAGUGAGGAAUAUUGGUCAAUGGGCGGAAGCCUGAACCAGCCAAGUAGCGUGAAGGAUGACGGCCCUACGGGUUGUAAACUGCUUUUAUACGGGAAUAACGCCCCUUACGUGUAGGGCUUUGCGUGUACCGUAUGAAUAAGGACCGGCUAAUUCCGUGCCGGCAGCCGCGGUAAUACGGAAGGUCCGGGCGUUAUCCGGAGUUCGUGGGUUUAACGGGAGCGUAGGCCGCAUGUCAUGCGUGAUGUGAAAUGUCCGGGCACAACCAUAGCCUUGCAGCGGGAAGGGGGAGGCGUGAGUCCGCAGAAGGCAGGCGGAAGUC
Molecule: ribosomal RNA, 334 nt
Filed under: uncultured bacterium
Lineage: Bacteria
Description: partial 16S ribosomal RNA
Rfam family: Bacterial small subunit ribosomal RNA
Source: RNAcentral